GAUGAACGCUGGCGGCGUGCCUAAUACAUGCAAGUCGAGCGAACGGACGAGAAGCUUGCUUCUCUGAUGUUAGCGGCGGACGGGUGAGUAACACGUGGAUAACCUACCUAUAAGACUGGGAUAACUACGGGAAACCGGAGCUAAUACCGGAUAAUAUUUUGAACCGCAUGGUUCAAAAGUGAAAGACGGUCUUGCUGUCACUUAUAGAUGGAUCCGCGCUGCAUUAGCUAGUUGGUAAGGUAACGGCUUACCAAGGCAACGAUGCAUAGCCGACCUGAGAGGGUGAUCGGCCACACUGGAACUGAGACACGGUCCAGACUCCUACGGGAGGCAGCAGUAGGGAAUCUUCCGCAAUGGGCGAAAGCCUGACGGAGCAACGCCGCGUGAGUGAUGAAGGUCUUCGGAUCGUAAAACUCUGUUAUUAGGGAAGAACAUAUGUGUAAGUAACUGUGCACAUCUUGACGGUACCUAAUCAGAAAGCCACGGCUAACUACGUG
This 497-nucleotide ribosomal RNA is filed under the name uncultured bacterium. Its description in RNAcentral is "partial 16S ribosomal RNA". It matches the Rfam family "Bacterial small subunit ribosomal RNA", at positions 28 to 507 of the family's 1533-position model. The record is from RNAcentral.